GCUUCAGGAGCAAAUGUGGAAAGGGUUUCUGCUUCAGGAGCAAAUGUGGAAAGGGUUUCUGCUUCAGGAGCAAAUGAUUGUCUGCACCCAGAAGAGUCAUCUACUUGAUAUCAAAACACAGGAUUUGAGGAAAACUCCUCCCAACUGUACUGCUAUUCAAUUGAACAUCAUCCUCCCAUGGUGCAAAGAUUCGACCAAAUAAAAACCAUUAUUUUUUUCAUAUGAGAAUGGUUUCCUCA
This is a long non-coding RNA of Populus euphratica (Euphrates poplar), 239 nucleotides long. RefSeq lists it as uncharacterized. The transcript is spliced from 2 exons. NCBI's taxonomy places the organism in Eukaryota, Viridiplantae, Streptophyta, Magnoliopsida, Malpighiales, Salicaceae. The record is from RefSeq and is a predicted model, not a curated record.